UAUAAUAUUAUUCCUGUUUUCUAAUGUUUUUACAAUGACUCCUUAGUUCUCUUUAGCGAUAAACAUCUGGCCGUCUGCUCUCUAGCCUUCUACCCAGAGAAAUUCAUAAAUUCGAUAUAAUGAGCCUCCUGAGGUCUUUAAACAGUUGCAGUUCUGGACCUACAGAGCAGUAAUGCAGGUGAACACAUUGAUCUAACUUGAUGUGCCACAGGGAAUGUGUAUAGUGCGCUCUUAAGCAAACGGUAGGAAGAGUUCACAGGAGCCCUUCACUCGUCCAAACACACACAUUUUGAACUAUUUGGUAAAAAUAAGUUCACCUAAUAUUUUUGCUAUUUCUAGUGAAAAAAUAUCAGUCAUUUCGCAGACAACUAAAUUUUCUUCUUUCCUCGUGCCCUGGCAAAUAUUUUUCCCUUGAACUUAUUUUUGUAACACUGUAUUUCAUCACACACACAUUUUCAGAACCGCUUGUCCCGUACAGGGUCGCGGGGAACCGAGAGCCUACCCAGCAACACAGGCCGGAGGGGGAGGGGACACACCCAGGACGGGACACCAGUCCGUCGCAAGGCACCCCAAGCGGGACUCGAACCCCAGACCCACCAGAGAACAGGACUGUGGUCCAACCCACCACGCCACCACACCACCGCACCCCCCUUAGUCCAUAAAUAAUUAAAGCAAUACAGUACCAUUUCCUGCAGCAUAUUUAGAAAAAAAUGUAAGGUAUGCGAGUCAUAAAGAUGUACUUAAAACCUCUGCUGAGCAAUUUAACUUUGUAAUAGGAGUACCCACACAUGGAGUGCAGCUUCAAAGUCUGUGUUGUAAAAAGCCAUACUCUAUAAAACUUUUAUAAAACAUACAUAAUCAAUCUUUUACAGUCAUGUGUUUGGUGUCUAGGUUUUAAAUGCAGGGGGUGCGGCGGUGUGGCAGGUUUGGGGUUCGAGCCCUGCUUGGGGAGCCUUGCUGCAGACUGGCAUCCUAUCCAGGAUGUGUUGCCAGGUCCGCCAGGAGCCUACAGUGGUGGUGUUGACCCAAAGAGCUGUCACAUCUAAUCCGUGUGUGUGUGCGUGUGCGUGCAAGCCACCAGGCACAUACAAAACUCUCCCGCAUAUCCAAUCCACACUCAUCCAGAAGCAUCUUUGGGAUUUACACCGCAGGCUUUGUGUCAGAAGCCAUUCAGCACAGUGCUGAUGAUUCAACGUGAAAAACUCUAAAAGACCCUGGAUGACAUCCUAGAAAUGCCUUAAAAACAUAUAUAACAGUUUCAGCCUGUAGAAGUUUUUUCUGUGACAGCAGUUGCUGGAGAAAUACUGCUAAAAUGUUCGGGAAGGGGCCAUGGAAGGAGACACCCCUGGGGGUAGAUUUGCUCCAGCUAACCUCAUGUCAUCUUCCUGCAGGUGCUGUAGCUAUCUUUUAGAAACUGUACAGAAAUAGUGGGUGCUUGAUAAAAUUUACAAAAAAAUUGGAGCAGCUGCACUAAAAGUAGCUUUACUAUAACCCUGCUCCGCACAAGUCAUUGCCGAACUAGAAACUUCAAAAUAAACAUUUUGCUUAUAAGUGAAGGUUGCA
Scleropages formosus (Asian bonytongue) is the source of this 1563-nucleotide long non-coding RNA. Lineage: Eukaryota; Metazoa; Chordata; Actinopteri; Osteoglossiformes; Osteoglossidae. The record is from Ensembl.